This 531-nucleotide ribosomal RNA is filed under the name Triticum aestivum (bread wheat). Its description in RNAcentral is "partial small subunit ribosomal RNA". The record is from RNAcentral. Lineage: Eukaryota; Viridiplantae; Streptophyta; Magnoliopsida; Poales; Poaceae.
AUGGGAUCCGAUGUCACGUUCCUUGUAUGCCAGGAGUCAUUUCAUGCGCACAAGAACAUACUCGCCGCCAGGUCUCCUGUUUCCAAGGCCCAGUUCUUUGGAGAAAUGGAAGAGAAGAGCUCGCGGCAUGUCGAGAUCAUGGACAUGGAGCCGGAAGAACUCGGAGCCAUGCUCCACUUCAUCUACACCGACACGAUCCCUGAACUAGAAAAGCAGGAGGAGGCGUCGACGGUGAUGGCUCAGCAUCUGCUGGCAGCCGCUGACAGCUUUCUUUUAGACAGGCUCAAGCUGAUAUGCGAGGCCAAGCUCUCUGGUGGCAUCACAGUGGACACGGCAGCAACAACUCUGGCCUUGGCCCAGCAACACAAUUGUUCACGGCUCAAGGCCAAGUGCGUCAAGUUCAUUGUCAGCACUCCUGAAGUUCUUGACGCUGUCCUGGCAACGGAGGGGUAUAAGCACCUGGAGGCAAGCUGCCCUUUGGUGCUAACUGAGCUUCUCAAGUCUGCCCAUGGGAGGAAUGCAGAAGCGUAG